Nerophis ophidion (straightnose pipefish) is the source of this 586-nucleotide long non-coding RNA. RefSeq lists it as uncharacterized. The transcript has 2 exons. NCBI's taxonomy places the organism in Eukaryota, Metazoa, Chordata, Actinopteri, Syngnathiformes, Syngnathidae. The record is from RefSeq and is a predicted model, not a curated record.
UGUACGGUCACCUGUGGGAAGUGCUCAGAACUGUGACGCCUCCAAACUGAGAAUCCCGUGACCCAAGUGGACUCACAGUCUCACAAUUUGCACUGUUUUACAGGUAAUAUUAUAUUUCAUGCCACUGUGUUUGUUUGGCUGUUCACAUAUUUGUCCUCACCUAUUGUUAUGAUGCUAAUGCUAAAAUGGCUAGGCCGCAGCCUGGUUUAUCAACCGCAUGGUUUGAAGCAGCCAUUUUGGAUGCGAGGUGUGUUUAGGGACAUCCUGAAAAAUGUAGUUUCUGUAAAUUUACUGUGUAUUUUGCAUAUAAAAAAAAGGAUUAUUGUUAAUUUGAGCACACCAUUGUCAGUACAUGUGAAACCAUUGAAGAAAUGAAUAUGAUGAUUAGUAUAAAGAUUUGGUCUAAACACUAUACGAUCACACCCAAAUGUAACAUGUUGUUUGUACAAUGAAACUAUGGUUUGUUAUGUCAAACAUCAGAACUGUGACGCCUCCAAACUGAGAAUCCCGUGACCCAAGUGGACUCACAGUCUCACAAUUUGCACUGUUUUACAGGACACUGUUAUUAAAGAAAUUCAUAAUCCAC